RNAcentral lists this ribosomal RNA (551 nucleotides) under uncultured Acaulospora. RNAcentral's name for it is "SSU rRNA". It matches the Rfam family "Eukaryotic small subunit ribosomal RNA", at positions 548 to 1098 of the family's 1831-position model. Lineage: Eukaryota; Fungi; Glomeromycota; Glomeromycetes; Diversisporales; Acaulosporaceae. The record is from RNAcentral.
UUGGAGGGCAAGUCUGGUGCCAGCAGCCGCGGUAAUUCCAGCUCCAAUAGCGUAUAUUAAAGUUGUUGCAGUUAAAAAGCUCGUAGUUGAAUUUCGGGGUUCAUCCGUUGGUCGGGCUUUUUGGUCUGUACUGGCGUGAUGGAUUCCUACCUUCUGAAUAACCAGCAUGUCAUUAAUUUGGUGCGCUGGGGAAGCAGGACUGUUACCUUGAAAAAAUUAGAGUGCUUAAAGCAGGCUAUCGCCUGAAUACAUUAGCAUGGAAUAAUGAAAUAGGACGGCAUGGUUCUAUUUUGUUGGUUUCUAGGAUCACCGUAAUGAUUAAUAGGGAUAGUUGGGGGCAUUAGUAUUCAAUUGUCAGAGGUGAAAUUCUUGGAUUUAUUGAAGACUAACUUCUGCGAAAGCAUUUGCCAAGGAUGUUUUCAUUAAUCAAGAACGAAAGUUAGGGGAUCGAAGACGAUCAGAUACCGUCGUAGUCUUAACCAUAAACUAUGCCGACUAGGGAUCGGACGAUGUUAAUUUUUUAAUGACUCGUUCGGCGCCUUACGGGAAAC